Long non-coding RNA from Dalotia coriaria, 703 nucleotides. RefSeq lists it as uncharacterized. The transcript has 2 exons. NCBI's taxonomy places the organism in Eukaryota, Metazoa, Arthropoda, Insecta, Coleoptera, Staphylinidae. The record is from RefSeq and is a predicted model, not a curated record.
UGAGUGUCACAGCACGUGGCGGCUCGGCGUGGUGGUGGUGGUGGUGGUGAUCGCGGUAGUGGCGGUGGUUGUGGAGGUGGUGAGCGUGAGCUUGUUCGCGAACGAUUGCUUUGUUUUGUGCGCUCGCAUUUCUCUCAACUCCGGCCUCGCUCUCUCGUCUUUUGCAACAACAACGGACAACAAUACUGGGGGAUUUCGGCGCUCGGCUCUCGACCCUCUGCGAUUUUAGCGUUUAGCCGCGCGCGCGGCGUGUUAAUUGAUUAGUCAACAUCGAUUUCGACACAAGCACAAUCCGACAAUGCGCGAGCACGACACAACGAGCACAACUCUAUCACACACCUAGAAAAAACACACAGACGUUAUUUCCGCUUGUCGCUGGUGGGCUUACCGGAAUGCCGCCGCUCUCCACCUGUUGGAUUAGGGAUCGGCACCAGGCUCAGCUUGCGCGACGUCCUGUAGAGGUUCUCCUGCUCCGAGCGAUUCAUAUCGCCGAAGAGCAUCACCAACGACGAGACCAUCUGAGCGAGCGGGAUUCGCGAAUAGUGCGCAAUAUCAUUGCAAGCGCACAAGUAUCAAAUAAUUCACCUUCAAUAUUUCCCUUUAUAUUCUCUCACAAACAUUGUUUUGAUGUUCCUGUGACUUGUCAGUCAGGAUAAUGAAUUCGGGCCUUGCUUCUACAUAAUUAAAAUGUGUUACGCCCUCG